Molecule: ribosomal RNA, 492 nt
Filed under: uncultured bacterium
Lineage: Bacteria
Description: partial 16S ribosomal RNA
Rfam family: Bacterial small subunit ribosomal RNA
Source: RNAcentral
AGUGAACGCUGGCGGUAGGCCUAACACAUGCAAGUCGAACGGCAGCACAGUAAGAGCUUGCUCUUACGGGUGGCGAGUGGCGGACGGGUGAGGAAUACAUCGGAAUCUACUUUUUUGUGGGGGAUAACGUAGGGAAACUUACGCUAAUACCGCAUACGACCUACGGGUGAAAGCAGGGGAUCUUCGGACCUUGCGCGAUUGAAUGAGCCGAUGUCGGAUUAGCUAGUUGGCGGGGUAAAGGCCCACCAAGGCGACGAUCCGUAGCUGGUCUGAGAGGAUGAUCCGCCACACUGGAACUGAGACACGGUCCAGACUCCUACGGGAGGCAGCAGUGGGGAAUAUUGGACAAUGGGCGCAAGCCUGAUCCAGCCAUACCGCGUGGGUGAAGAAGGCCUUCGGGUUGUAAAGCCCUUUUGUUGGGAAAGAAAAGCAGCAGGUUAAUACCCCGCUGUUCUGACGGUACCCAAAGAAUAAGCACCGGCUAACUUCGUG